UCACAGGGGGAUAGCCCGAAGAAAUUUGGAUUAAUUCCCCCAUAAUAUUAUUGGAUGGCAUCAUUUGAUAAUUAAAAUUACGAUGGUGAAAGAUGGGCAUGCGUCCUAUUAGCUAGUUGGAGUGGUAACGGCACCCCAAGGCUACGAUAGGUAGGGGUCCUGAGAGGGAGAUCCCCCACACUGGUACUGAGACAGGGACCAGACUCCUACGGGAGGCAGCAGUGAGGAAUAUUGGUCAAUGGUCGGAAGACUGAACCAGCCAUGCCGCGUGCAGGAAGAAUGCCUUAUGGGUUGUAAACUGCUUUUAUAUGGGAAGAAUAAGGAGUACGCGUA
Molecule: ribosomal RNA, 333 nt
Filed under: Capnocytophaga granulosa
Lineage: Bacteria; Pseudomonadati; Bacteroidota; Flavobacteriia; Flavobacteriales; Flavobacteriaceae
Description: bacterial SSU rRNA
Rfam family: Bacterial small subunit ribosomal RNA
Source: RNAcentral